Molecule: ribosomal RNA, 253 nt
Filed under: uncultured bacterium
Lineage: Bacteria
Description: partial 16S ribosomal RNA
Rfam family: Bacterial small subunit ribosomal RNA
Source: RNAcentral
GACGGGGGGUCCUAGCGUUGUUCGGAAUCAUUGGGCGUAAAGCGUGUGCAGGUUGUUUUUCAAGUUAGGUGUGAAAUCCUUGGGCUUAACCCAAGAAGUGCACUUAAAACUGUUAAACUUGAGUAUGGAAGAGGGUCGUGGAAUUCCAGGUGUAGUGGUGAAAUACGUAGAUAUCUGGAGGAACACCGGUGGCGAAGGCGGCGACCUGGUCCUAUACUGACACUCAUACACGAAAGCGUGGGGAUCAAACAGG